RNAcentral lists this ribosomal RNA (253 nucleotides) under uncultured bacterium. RNAcentral describes it as "partial 16S ribosomal RNA". It matches the Rfam family "Bacterial small subunit ribosomal RNA", at positions 524 to 776 of the family's 1533-position model. The record is from RNAcentral.
UACGUAGGUGGCAAGCGUUAUCCGGAUUUAUUGGGCGUAAAGGGAACGCAGGCGGUCUUUUAAGUCUGAUGUGAAAGCCUUCGGCUUAACCGGAGUAGUGCAUUGGAAACUGGGAGACUUGAGUGCAGAAGAGGAGAGUGGAACUCCAUGUGUAGCGGUGAAAUGCGUAGAUAUAUGGAAGAACACCAGUGGCGAAAGCGGCUCUCUGGUCUGUAACUGACGCUGAGAUUCGAAAGCGUGGGUAGCGAACAGG